GACGAACGCUGGCGGCGUGCUUAACACAUGCAAGUCGAACGGUGAUGCCCCAGCUUGCUGGGGUGGUCCAGUGGCGAACGGGUGAGUAACACGUGAGUAACCUGCCCCAGACUCUGGAAUAAGCGCUGGAAACGGCGUCUAAUACCGGAUACGAAACUGGCCCGCAUGGGCAUGGUUUGGAAAGUUUUUCGGUUUGGGAUGGGCUCGCGGCCUAUCAGCUUGUUGGUGGGGUAAUGGCUCACCAAGGCGACGACGGGUAGCCGGCCUGAGAGGGCGACCGGCCACACUGGGACUGAGACACGGCCCAGACUCCUACGGGAGGCAGCAGUGGGGAAUAUUGCACAAUGGGCGAAAGCCUGAUGCAGCGACGCCGCGUGAGGGAUGACGGCCUUCGGGUUGUAAACCUCUUUCAGCAGGGAAGAAGCGAAAGUGACGGUACCUGCAGAAGAAGCACCGGCUAACUACGUG
Molecule: ribosomal RNA, 468 nt
Filed under: uncultured bacterium
Lineage: Bacteria
Description: partial 16S ribosomal RNA
Rfam family: Bacterial small subunit ribosomal RNA
Source: RNAcentral